Molecule: ribosomal RNA, 518 nt
Filed under: uncultured bacterium
Lineage: Bacteria
Description: bacterial SSU rRNA
Rfam family: Bacterial small subunit ribosomal RNA
Source: RNAcentral
ACAGUAACGCGAUCGAAUGUACCUAUGGGUUGAGGAUAGCCGUGGGAAACUGCGGGUAAUACUCGAUGAUGUCUCCGGACCAAAGAUUUAUCGCCCUAAGAGCAGCGAUCGUCCUAUCAGGUAGUUGGCGGGGUAAAGGCCCACCAAGCCUAAGACGGGUAGCAGGUGUGAGAGCACGACCUGCGACAUCGGGACUGAGACACUGCCCGGACUCCUACGGGAGGCUGCAGUAACGAAUCUUCCGCAAUGGGCGCAAGCCUGACGGAGCAAUGCCGCGUGUGGGAUGAAGCGGCUACGCCGUGUAAACCACUGUCAGGGACUAGAACCAAUGAUCAGUCCCAAAGGAAGAGCCGGCUAACCCCUGUGCCAGCAGCCGCGGUAAUACAGGGGGCUCGAGCGUUAAUCGGAAUCACUGGGCUUAAAGGGUGCGUAGGUGGCUUGCCAAGCGUCCUGUGAAAUCCCACGGCUCAACCGUGGAACCGCAGGGCGAACUGGUAGGCUUGAGGCAUGUAGGGGCA